UAUGAAGAAGGCCUUCGGGUUGUAAAGUACUUUCAGCGAGGAGGAAGGCGUUGUGGUUAAUAACCGCAGCGAUUGACGUUACUCGCAGAAGAAGCACCGGCUAACUCCGUGCCAGCAGCCGCGGUAAUACGGAGGGUGCAAGCGUUAAUCGGAAUUACUGGGCGUAAAGCGCACGCAGGCGGUCUGUCAAGUCGGAUGUGAAAUCCCCGGGCUCAACCUGGGAACUGCAUCCGAAACUGGCAGGCUAGAGUCUUGUAGAGGGGGGUAGAAUUCCAGGU
This 278-nucleotide ribosomal RNA is filed under the name uncultured Citrobacter sp. RNAcentral's name for it is "partial 16S ribosomal RNA". It matches the Rfam family "Bacterial small subunit ribosomal RNA", at positions 404 to 674 of the family's 1533-position model. The record is from RNAcentral. Lineage: Bacteria; Pseudomonadati; Pseudomonadota; Gammaproteobacteria; Enterobacterales; Enterobacteriaceae.